AGUAAGAAUAAAAUGUUUAUAAAGGAUCUCUAUGCAAAUAAGAAAAGGACGUAAGAAUGAACGAAAGGUUAUAGGGAAAACAUAAAAAAAAGCUAGAAAUAGCAAUUGAAGAUCUAUAAAUAUCCGAGGGGAGACCAAGAAAAGACAAGAAACGCAGUGAAUUGAAACAUCUUAGUAACUGUAGGAAAAAAAAUCAAAAGAGAUUCGGUAAGUAGUGGUGAGCGAAAGCCAGAGCAGAGUAAAAGAAGACCAUUAGAAGAAGACUGAAAUAAGGGUGGAAGUCCAAGGCAAAAUAAGGUGAAAGUCCAGUAAGGGAAAGGACUAAUGGUAAAGAAGUAAAACGAAGAAAGGAGGAAUUAGUUUGAAUAAUGGGGGUCCACCCCCAAACUCAACAUAUGCUUAUUUGACUGAUAGUGAACAAGUACUGUGAAGGAAAGAUGAAAAAGAAAAUUUAGGAGAAGAUCUAAUAAAGUGAAAAGAACGUGAAAUUGUAAACAUGAUGAGCAGUUGGAAGUAAAAUAACAACGUACCUUUUGUAUAAUGGGUCAGCGAGUUAAUAAAUCGUAGCAAGCUUAAGAUGAUAAUUGUAGGCGUAGCGAAAGCGAAUCUUAAUAGGGUGUGUUAGAGUUACAUUUAUUAGACCCGAAACCAAGCGAUCUAAUUAUGAACACGCAUUUUAUACUUUUUGUUAUAAUUUGGCGGAACCCGUGACUGUUGCAAAAGUUUGGGAUGAUUUGUGAUUAGGGGUGAAAGGCUAAUCAAGCUUGGUGAUAGCUGUUUUUUACGAAAUCUAUUUAGGUAGAGUGGUGGUAGAGAAAGAUUUAUAGUGGUAGAGCACUGAGUAGUUAACCUAAGGUUAUUAUUUAAACUUCGAAUACUAUUAAAUAAGGUCCCCACUAAGCAGACUAUGAGCGCUAAGGUCCAUAGGUCGAAAGGGAAACAGCCCAGAUUGUAAGUUAAUGUUCUUAAAUAAUAGUGUAGUGUCAAAGGCAAGGAGAAAGUGAAGUUAAUUGGAAAGUAGGAUUGGAAGCGACCAUCUUUUAAAGAAAGCGUAAAAGCUCACCAAUUUAAGGCGUUCUCUAGCCAACAAUGUACAGGAACUUAAUAUUAUACAGAAACUACAAAAUUAAAAAAUUGGUAGUAAAAUCUUCCGUAUAAUUGUGAAGUUAAAUUAAGAAGAUUUAAUGGAGUUAUCGGAAUAAAGAAUGCUGAUAUGAGUAAUGUAAAUAAGGUUAAAACCUUAUCGCUGAAAAUUAGAAGUUUCCUAAUAAAAAGGUAGACUGAUUAGGGUUACGCGAUCGCUAAGAUUAAUAUGAAAAUAAAAAAUCGAUGCGCAUUUAGAUUAAUAAUUCUAACGUUUUUAUUGAAGUUUUAAUUGACAUGUGUAUAAAAUAUAAUUAUAUUAUACUUAAAUUAUAGAUUAUGUUUUAUAUAAGUUUUAAAAAUAGAUUAAAACAAAAAGUAUUUCGAUAUUUUUUAAAUAAAAAAUCGUACUUAAACCGACACUGGUUAAUUGAUAGAGUAUAUUAAAGUGUAGAAUGAAUGAUUCUGAAGGAACUCGGCAAAAUGACUCUGUAACUGCGGGAGAAAGAGUACCUUUAUUUGAAAGAAUGAAGGUCACAGAAAAGAGGGGAUGGCGACUGUUUAAUAAAAACACAGGAUUCUGCAAAAUGGUAACAUGAUGUAUAGGGUCUGCGACCUGCCCGGUGCUCUAGGAGGAAAAGGAGAAUUGCAAGAUUUGAAUUGAAGUCUGAGUAAACGGCGGCUGUAACUAUGACGGUCCUAAGGUAGCGAAAUUCCUUGUCGAGUAAUUUUCGACGCGCAUGAAUGGUGUAACGACCUUCCCACUGUCUCCAGAAUCACUUCAAUGAAAUUGAACUUUCCGUGAAGAUGCGGAAUAUUAGCAGCUAGACGGAAAGACCCUAUGCACCUUAACUUCACGCAUAUAUUGUGCAACAUUUCUAAUUACGUAGGAUACUUAAGAUGCUUAUGAUAUUUUGGUUUUGGCCAAUUUAAUGGAGGCGCUGGUGAAAUAUUAAGUCUAUUAGAAAAAUAGUACUCAAAAAUAAUAGUGUAUGCCGGGUAGUUUGACUGGGGCGGUAACCUUCUAAAGAGUAACGAAGGUGUAUAAAGGUAAACUCAAAAUAAAUUAGUUAGUUAUUUGGUGAGUGUAAUGGCAUAAGUUUGCUUGACUGAAAGACCUACAAGUCAAUCAGAGACGCAAGUCGAUCAUAGUGAUCCAAUAGUUCUGUGUGGAAAGGCUAUUGCUAACGGAUAAAAGGUACGCUAGGGAUAACAGGCUGAUGGAGCGUUAGAGUUCAUAUCUGUCGCUCCGUUUGGCACCUCGAUUAACACAUCCCGGAGUUGUAAAAGUUUCCAAGGGUUGGGGUGUUCACCCAUUAAAGUGUUACAUGAGCUGGGUUUAAAACGUCGUGAGACAGUUUGGUCCCUAUCUACUGUUAAAAAGAAAAGAAUAAAACCCUUCCUUUAGUACGAGAGGACUGAGGUGGGUCGAUCUCUGGUGUAUUAAUUAUUGUAACAACAGUAUAGUUAAGUAGCUACAUCGAAAUAUUAAUGAUAAAAAGUAUCAUUAUGAGAGAACUGCUGAAAAAAUAUUAAGUAGGAAACUUGUUUUAAAAAUUUUCAUAUUCAGGUAAAAGACGAUUACUUUGAUAGGCUACAUAUAAAAAAGAAUAGUAAUAUAAUAUAAAGGUUUGAGAAAACCUUUCCAUUAAUUAUAUAAUUAAUGUGAUCUUUUUAUAAAGAUUAGUAAAGUAGUACUAAAGAUGGAUGAAAAAUCUUAUGAA
This 2807-nucleotide ribosomal RNA is filed under the name Dictyostelium intermedium. RNAcentral describes it as "large subunit ribosomal RNA". It matches the Rfam family "Bacterial large subunit ribosomal RNA". The record is from RNAcentral. Lineage: Eukaryota; Evosea; Eumycetozoa; Dictyosteliales; Dictyosteliaceae.